This 189-nucleotide non-coding RNA is filed under the name Deltaproteobacteria bacterium. RNAcentral's name for it is "6S RNA". It matches the Rfam family "6S / SsrS RNA". Rfam says of the family: E. coli 6S RNA was the first non coding RNA to be sequenced, but its function was unknown until recently. Lineage: Bacteria; Pseudomonadati; Myxococcota; Myxococcia. The record is from RNAcentral.
UUCCCCCUGCAAUGUUGGUGAAGAUGCGAUAUUCUUUGAGCCAACAGAAAAAAAAGGGGAGCUGUCUCUUAUUGUGGCUGGCCUGUCCUAAUUCGCAGGAGUAUAGGAACGCCAAAAGCAAUAAUAUGGCACCCACCUAGAAAACCUAGGUUCAAAAGGAAAGCAUCCCACGGCAUUUGCGGGGGGAUA